This 691-nucleotide ribosomal RNA is filed under the name Acidovorax defluvii. RNAcentral's name for it is "bacterial SSU rRNA". It matches the Rfam family "Bacterial small subunit ribosomal RNA", at positions 68 to 756 of the family's 1533-position model. Lineage: Bacteria; Pseudomonadati; Pseudomonadota; Betaproteobacteria; Burkholderiales; Comamonadaceae. The record is from RNAcentral.
GGUAACAGGUCUUCGGAUGCUGACGAGUGGCGAACGGGUGAGUAAUACAUCGGAACGUGCCCGAUCGUGGGGGAUAACGGAGCGAAAGCUUUGCUAAUACCGCAUACGAUCUACGGAUGAAAGCAGGGGACCGCAAGGCCUUGCGCGGACGGAGCGGCCGAUGGCAGAUUAGGUAGUUGGUGGGAUAAAAGCUUACCAAGCCGACGAUCUGUAGCUGGUCUGAGAGGACGACCAGCCACACUGGGACUGAGACACGGCCCAGACUCCUACGGGAGGCAGCAGUGGGGAAUUUUGGACAAUGGGCGAAAGCCUGAUCCAGCCAUGCCGCGUGCAGGAUGAAGGCCUUCGGGUUGUAAACUGCUUUUGUACGGAACGAAAAGACUCCUUCUAAUAAAGGGGGUCCAUGACGGUACCGUAAGAAUAAGCACCGGCUAACUACGUGCCAGCAGCCGCGGUAAUACGUAGGGUGCAAGCGUUAAUCGGAAUUACUGGGCGUAAAGCGUGCGCAGGCGGUUAUAUAAGACAGAUGUGAAAUCCCCGGGCUCAACCUGGGAACUGCAUUUGUGACUGUAUAGCUAGAGUACGGCAGAGGGGGAUGGAAUUCCGCGUGUAGCAGUGAAAUGCGUAGAUAUGCGGAGGAACACCGAUGGCGAAGGCAAUCCCCUGGGCCUGUACUGACGCUCAUGCACGA